ACAUUACAUCCAAAGAUCUUCAACUGAAAAUUAAAAUAUACCGUGCCAGUAUUUUUUCUGUUUGUAAGAUUUGAAUGCAAGAGAAUGAAGACUUUCACGCUUUCUCUGGCCUGCAAAUUCUAAUUUCACAGCUGGAUUUCACUUCCAUUUCAACAGAGAUGUC
Molecule: long non-coding RNA, 163 nt
Organism: Hyaena hyaena (striped hyena)
Lineage: Eukaryota; Metazoa; Chordata; Mammalia; Carnivora; Hyaenidae
Exons: 3
Source: RefSeq, a predicted model, not a curated record